GCUUACGGCCAUACCAGCCUGUGUACGCCCGAUCUCGUCUGAUCUCGGAAGCUAAGCAGGGUCGGGCCUGGUUAGUACUUGGAUGUGAGACCGCCUGGGAAUACCAGGUGCUGUAAGCA
Molecule: ribosomal RNA, 119 nt
Filed under: Salmo salar (Atlantic salmon)
Lineage: Eukaryota; Metazoa; Chordata; Actinopteri; Salmoniformes; Salmonidae
Source: RNAcentral